RNAcentral lists this long non-coding RNA (579 nucleotides) under Prunus persica (peach). RNAcentral describes it as "long non-coding RNA (PPER_LNC001329)". The record is from RNAcentral. Lineage: Eukaryota; Viridiplantae; Streptophyta; Magnoliopsida; Rosales; Rosaceae.
UCCAAUUUAGAUAGAUUUAUAACAUAAUCAGAAAUUUGGUUAGUUCUUGGCUGCCGCUUUGCCACCUAAACCCUGUACAAUCAUCAUUGGUUUGUUAAUGAAACCAAAUAUUUUUAAUACAAACAAUAGUUAAAAUUAAUUUAAAGGGGAUUCAAACUUGGGUGCAAAUGAAGCGGGCUUAUUGCCUUGGCCAACUAGCUUAACCCACAUCUGCUAAUGAAACCAAAUUAAUUAACAUAAAGCAUGAAGACAAACCAAAUCAUACAUUUAACUGAUAGGCCAAGAAGAUGACCCGAAUGUGGAUAUAUAUGUACCUUCUUCUUGGGUGCCUGAGGCUUUGGUGCAGCCUUCUUUGGGGCUGCCUUAGAUGCUGGGGCUUUGGCUCCACCAUCACUGACCUUGGGUUCUUUCUUGGCCUGGCCAAACUGUUGAGUGCCAACUUGCUUUAUUUCAGCCUUCAUUGAUGCCAUGUAUAGUUCUCUAAGAAACUCUUUCACAAUGAUAUAUGAAAAAUCUAACGUAGGUAUUAACUCGAUGGCCUCAACUCAACUGCUCGCUCCUUCUGAGCCUACCCUUCUA